UACGUAGGGAGCGAGCGUUGUCCGGAAUUACUGGGCGUAAAGGGCGAGUAGGCGGCAGUGCAAGUAGGGUGUGAAAGCCCCCGGCUUAACCGGGGAGGGUCAUUCUAAACUGCACAGCUAGAGGGCAAGAGAGGCUAACGGAAUUCCCGGUGUAGUGGUGAAAUGCGUAGAUAUCGGGAGGAACAUCAGAGGCGAAGGCGGUUAGCUGGGUUGUGCCUGACGCUGAGGCGCGAAGGCUAGGGGAGCAAACAGG
Molecule: ribosomal RNA, 253 nt
Filed under: uncultured bacterium
Lineage: Bacteria
Description: partial 16S ribosomal RNA
Rfam family: Bacterial small subunit ribosomal RNA
Source: RNAcentral